GCCACGCGGGCGGGCGAUCGAACUUGUAAAGCGAAGGUCGUCGGUUCGAACCCGACAGUCGGCU
Molecule: transfer RNA, 64 nt
Filed under: Streptomyces sp. HU2014
Lineage: Bacteria; Bacillati; Actinomycetota; Actinomycetes; Kitasatosporales; Streptomycetaceae
Description: tRNA-Tyr
Source: RNAcentral